Molecule: ribosomal RNA, 339 nt
Filed under: uncultured Fusibacter sp.
Lineage: Bacteria; Bacillati; Bacillota; Clostridia; Eubacteriales; Fusibacteraceae
Description: bacterial SSU rRNA
Rfam family: Bacterial small subunit ribosomal RNA
Source: RNAcentral
CAUGGUUGUCGUCAGCUCGUGUCGUGAGAUGUUGGGUUAAGUCCCGCAACGAGCGCAACCCUUGUGUUUAGUUGCAAACAGGUCAAGCUGUGCACUCUAGACAGACUGCCGUGGACAACACGGAGGAAGGUGGGGAUGACGUCAAAUCAUCAUGCCCCUUAUGAUCUGGGCUACACACGUGCUACAAUGGCCGGUACAACGGGCAGCGAAGGAGCGAUCCGGAGCGAAUCCUAAAAAGCCGGUCCCAGUUCGGAUUGCAGGCUGAAACUCGCCUACAUGAAGUUGGAGUUGCUAGUAAUCGCGAAUCAGAAUGUCGCGGUGAAUGCGUUCCCGGGUCUU